GGUUGAUCCUGCCAGUAGCAUACGCUUGUCUCAAAGAUUAAGCCAUGCAUGUCUAAGUAUAAACAAGUCUAUACGGUGAAACUGCGAAUGGCUCAUUAAAUCAGUUAUAAUUUAUUUGAUUAUCUCUUUACUACUUGGAUAACCGUGGUAAUUCUAGAGCUAAUACAUGCAAAAAGCCCGACUUCUGGAAGGGUUGUAUUUAUUAGAUAAAAACCAAUGGGCUCGUCCCUCCUGGUGAUUCAUAAUAACUUUGCGGAUCGUAUGGCCUUGCGCCGACGACAUUUCAUUCAAA
Molecule: ribosomal RNA, 292 nt
Filed under: uncultured eukaryote
Lineage: Eukaryota
Description: partial 18S ribosomal RNA
Rfam family: Eukaryotic small subunit ribosomal RNA
Source: RNAcentral